This 167-nucleotide ribosomal RNA is filed under the name uncultured bacterium. RNAcentral describes it as "partial 16S ribosomal RNA". It matches the Rfam family "Bacterial small subunit ribosomal RNA", at positions 1334 to 1500 of the family's 1533-position model. The record is from RNAcentral.
GCUAGUAAUCGUGGAUCAGCAUGCCACGGUGAAUACGUUCCCGGGCCUUGUACACACCGCCCGUCACACCAUGGGAGUCGGUAACACCCGAAGCCUGUAGUCUAACCGCAAGGAGGACGCAGUCGAAGGUGGGAUUGAUGACUGGGGUGAAGUCGUAACAAGGUAUC